AUUGAACGCUGGCGGCAGGCCUAACACAUGCCAGUCGAGCGGAUGAAGGGAGCUUGCUCCUGGAUUCAGCGGCGGACGGGUGAGUAAUGCCUAGGAAUCUGCCUGGUAGUGGGGGAUAACGUCCGGAAACGGGCGCUAAUACCGCAUACGUCCUGAGGGAGAGAGUGGGGGAUCUUCGGACCUCACGCUAUCAGAUGAGCCUAGGUCGGAUUAGCUAGUUGGUGGGGUAAAGGCCUACCAAGGCGACGAUCCGUAACUGGUCUGAGAGGAUGAUCAGUCACACUGGAACUGAGACACGGUCCAGACUCCUACGGGAGGCAGCAGUGGGGAAUAUUGGACAAUGGGCGAAAGCCUGAUCCAGCCAUGCCGCGUGUGUGAAGAAGGUCUUCGGAUUGUAAAGCACUUUAAGUUGGGAGGAAGGGCAGUAAGUUAAUACCUUGCUGUUUUGACGUUACCAACAGAAUAAGCACCGGCUAACUUCGUG
This 484-nucleotide ribosomal RNA is filed under the name uncultured bacterium. Its description in RNAcentral is "partial 16S ribosomal RNA". It matches the Rfam family "Bacterial small subunit ribosomal RNA", at positions 30 to 507 of the family's 1533-position model. The record is from RNAcentral.